RNAcentral lists this ribosomal RNA (253 nucleotides) under uncultured bacterium. RNAcentral describes it as "partial 16S ribosomal RNA". It matches the Rfam family "Bacterial small subunit ribosomal RNA", at positions 524 to 776 of the family's 1533-position model. The record is from RNAcentral.
GACAGAGGGUGCAAACGUUGCUCGGAAUCACUGGGCGUAAAGGGCGCGUAGGCGGCCCGCUAAGUCGAACGUGAAAUCCCCGAGCUCAACUCGGGAACUGCGUCCGAUACUGGCGGGCUUGAAUCCGGGAGAGGGAUGCGGAAUUCCAGGUGUAGCGGUGAAAUGCGUAGAUAUCUGGAGGAACACCGGUGGCGAAGGCGGCAUCCUGGACCGGCAUUGACGCUGAGGCGCGAAAGCUAGGGGAGCAAACGGG